GGAUGAACGCUGGCGGCGUGCUUAACACAUGCAAGUCGAACGGAAAGGCCACAGCUUGCUGUGGUACUCGAGUGGCGAACGGGUGAGUAACACGUGGGUGAUCUGCCCUGUACUUCGGGAUAAGCUUGGGAAACUGGGUCUAAUACCGGAUAGGAAUCACAUGUGGGUGUGUGGUUGGAAAGCUUUUGCGGUAUGGGAUGAGCUCGCGGCCUAUCAGCUUGUUGGUGGGGUAAUGGCCUACCAAGGCGUCGACGGGUAGCCGGCCUGAGAGGGUGUACGGCCACAUUGGGACUGAGAUACGGCCCAGACUCCUACGGGAGGCAGCAGUGGGGAAUAUUGCACAACGGGCGCAAGCCUGAUGCAGCGACGCCGCGUGGGGGAUGACGGCCUUCGGGUUGUAAACUCCUUUCGUCAGGGACGAAGCGAAAGUGACGGUACCUGGAGAAGAAGCACCGGCUAACUACGUG
RNAcentral lists this ribosomal RNA (467 nucleotides) under uncultured bacterium. Its description in RNAcentral is "partial 16S ribosomal RNA". It matches the Rfam family "Bacterial small subunit ribosomal RNA", at positions 27 to 507 of the family's 1533-position model. The record is from RNAcentral.